This 742-nucleotide ribosomal RNA is filed under the name uncultured archaeon. RNAcentral's name for it is "bacterial SSU rRNA". It matches the Rfam family "Archaeal small subunit ribosomal RNA", at positions 117 to 859 of the family's 1478-position model. The record is from RNAcentral.
AGGACUGGGAUAACCCUGGGAAACUGGGGAUAAUACCGGAUAGGCAAUUUUUCCUGUAAUGGUUUUUUGUUUAAAUGUUUUUUCGCCUAAGGAUGGGUCUGCGGCCGAUUAGGUAGUUGGUUAGGUAAUGGCUUACCAAGCCGUUGAUCGGUACGGGUUGUGAGAGCAAGAGCCCGGAGAUGGAACCUGAGACAAGGUUCCAGGCCCUACGGGGUGCAGCAGGCGCGAAACCUCCGCAAUGUGAGAAAUCGCGACGGGGGGAUCCCAAGUGCCAUUCUUAACGGGAUGGCUUUUCAUUAGUGUAAAGAGCUUUUGGAAUAAGGGCUGGGCAAGACCGGUGCCAGCCGCCGCGGUAACACCGGCAGCUCUAGUGGUAGCAGUUUUUAUUGGGCCUAAAGCGUCCGUAGCCGGUUUAAUAAGUCUCUGGUGAAAUCCUGUAGCUUAACUGUGGGAAUUGCUGGAGAUACUAUUAGACUUGAGACCGGGAGAGGUUAGAGGUACUCCCAGGGUAGAGGUGAAAUUCUGUAAUCCUGGGAGGACCGCCUGUUGCGAAGGCGUCUAACUGGAACGGUUCUGACGGUGAGGGACGAAAGUUAGGGGCGCGAACCGGAUUAGAUACCCGGGUAGUCCUAACUGUAAACGAUGCGGACUUGGUGUUGGGGUGGCUUUGAGCUGCUCCAGUGCCGAAGGGAAGCUGUUAAGUCCGCCGCCUGGGAAGUACGGUCGCAAGACUGAAACUUAA